UACGUAGGUGGCAAGCGUUGUCCGGAAUUAUUGGGCGUAAAGAGCUCGUAGGCGGUCUGUUGCGUCGGCUGUGAAAACCCGGGGCUCAACCCCGGGCCUGCAGCCGAUACGGGCAGACUAGAGUUCGGCAGGGGAGACUGGAAUUCCUGGUGUAGCGGUGAAAUGCGCAGAUAUCAGGAGGAACACCGGUGGCGAAGGCGGGUCUCUGGGCCGAUACUGACGCUGAGGAGCGAAAGCGUGGGGAGCGAACAGG
Molecule: ribosomal RNA, 253 nt
Filed under: uncultured bacterium
Lineage: Bacteria
Description: partial 16S ribosomal RNA
Rfam family: Bacterial small subunit ribosomal RNA
Source: RNAcentral